This 649-nucleotide ribosomal RNA is filed under the name Flavobacterium sp. RNAcentral describes it as "bacterial SSU rRNA". It matches the Rfam family "Bacterial small subunit ribosomal RNA", at positions 111 to 758 of the family's 1533-position model. Lineage: Bacteria; Pseudomonadati; Bacteroidota; Flavobacteriia; Flavobacteriales; Flavobacteriaceae. The record is from RNAcentral.
UAACGCGUAUGCAAUCUACCUUUUACAGAGGGAUAGCCCAGAGAAAUUUGGAUUAAUACCUCAUAGUAUAAUUGAAUGGCAUCAUUUAAUUAUUAAAGUCACAACGGUAAAAGAUGAGCAUGCGUCCCAUUAGCUAGUUGGUAAGGUAACGGCUUACCAAGGCUACGAUGGGUAGGGGUCCUGAGAGGGAGAUCCCCCACACUGGUACUGAGACACGGACCAGACUCCUACGGGAGGCAGCAGUGAGGAAUAUUGGACAAUGGGCGCAAGCCUGAUCCAGCCAUGCCGCGUGCAGGAUGACGGUCCUAUGGAUUGUAAACUGCUUUUGUACAGGAAGAAACACUGGUUCGUGAACCAGCUUGACGGUACUGUAAGAAUAAGGAUCGGCUAACUCCGUGCCAGCAGCCGCGGUAAUACGGAGGAUCCAAGCGUUAUCCGGAAUCAUUGGGUUUAAAGGGUCCGUAGGCGGUUUGGUAAGUCAGUGGUGAAAGCCCAUCGCUCAACGGUGGAACGGCCAUUGAUACUGCUAGACUUGAAUUAUUAGGAAGUAACUACAAUAUGUAGUGUAGCGGUGAAAUGCUUAUAGAUUACAUGGAAUACCUAUUGCGAAGGCAGGUUACUACUAAUAUAUUGACGCUGAUGGACGAAA